Molecule: ribosomal RNA, 2194 nt
Filed under: Escherichia coli ISC7
Lineage: Bacteria; Pseudomonadati; Pseudomonadota; Gammaproteobacteria; Enterobacterales; Enterobacteriaceae
Description: LSU rRNA
Rfam family: Bacterial large subunit ribosomal RNA
Source: RNAcentral
GGUUAAGCGACUAAGCGUACACGGUGGAUGCCCUGGCAGUCAGAGGCGAUGAAGGACGUGCUAAUCUGCGAUAAGCGUCGGUAAGGUGAUAUGAACCGUUAUAACCGGCGAUUUCCGAAUGGGGAAACCCAGUGUGAUUCGUCACACUAUCAUUAACUGAAUCCAUAGGUUAAUGAGGCGAACCGGGGGAACUGAAACAUCUAAGUACCCCGAGGAAAAGAAAUCAACCGAGAUUCCCCCAGUAGCGGCGAGCGAACGGGGAGCAGCCCAGAGCCUGAAUCAGUGUGUGUGUUAGUGGAAGCGUCUGGAAAGGCGCGCGAUACAGGGUGACAGCCCCGUACACAAAAAUGCACAUACUGUGAGCUCGAUGAGUAGGGCGGGACACGUGGUAUCCUGUCUGAAUAUGGGGGGACCAUCCUCCAAGGCUAAAUACUCCUGACUGACCGAUAGUGAACCAGUACCGUGAGGGAAAGGCGAAAAGAACCCCGGCGAGGGGAGUGAAAAAGAACCUGAAACCGUGUACGUACAAGCAGUGGGAGCACAGAGCAAUCUGUGUGACUGCGUACCUUUUGUAUAAUGGGUCAGCGACUUAUAUUCUGUAGCAAGGUUAACCGAAUAGGGGAGCCGAAGGGAAACCGAGUCUUAACUGGGCGUUAAGUUGCAGGGUAUAGACCCGAAACCCGGUGAUCUAGCCAUGGGCAGGUUGAAGGUUGGGUAACACUAACUGGAGGACCGAACCGACUAAUGUUGAAAAAUUAGCGGAUGACUUGUGGCUGGGGGUGAAAGGCCAAUCAAACCGGGAGAUAGCUGGUUCUCCCCGAAAGCUAUUUAGGUAGCGCCUCGUGAAUUCAUCUCCGGGGGUAGAGCACUGUUUCGGCAAGGGGGUCAUCCCGACUUACCAACCCGAUGCAAACUGCGAAUACCGGAGAAUGUUAUCACGGGAGACACACGGCGGGUGCUAACGUCCGUCGUGAAGAGGGAAACAACCCAGACCGCCAGCUAAGGUCCCAAAGUCAUGGUUAAGUGGGAAACGAUGUGGGAAGGCCCAGACAGCCAGGAUGUUGGCUUAGAAGCAGCCAUCAUUUAAAGAAAGCGUAAUAGCUCACUGGUCGAGUCGGCCUGCGCGGAAGAUGUAACGGGGCUAAACCAUGCACCGAAGCUGCGGCAGCGACGCUUAUGCGUUGUUGGGUAGGGGAGCGUUCUGUAAGCCUGCGAAGGUGUGCUGUGAGGCAUGCUGGAGGUAUCAGAAGUGCGAAUGCUGACAUAAGUAACGAUAAAGCGGGUGAAAAGCCCGCUCGCCGGAAGACCAAGGGUUCCUGUCCAACGUUAAUCGGGGCAGGGUGAGUCGACCCCUAAGGCGAGGCCGAAAGGCGUAGUCGAUGGGAAACAGGUUAAUAUUCCUGUACUUGGUGUUACUGCGAAGGGGGGACGGAGAAGGCUAUGUUGGCCGGGCGACGGUUGUCCCGGUUUAAGCGUGUAGGCUGGUUUUCCAGGCAAAUCCGGAAAAUCAAGGCUGAGGCGUGAUGACGAGGCACUACGGUGCUGAAGCAACAAAUGCCCUGCUUCCAGGAAAAGCCUCUAAGCAUCAGGUAACAUCAAAUCGUACCCCAAACCGACACAGGUGGUCAGGUAGAGAAUACCAAGGCGCUUGAGAGAACUCGGGUGAAGGAACUAGGCAAAAUGGUGCCGUAACUUCGGGAGAAGGCACGCUGAUAUGUAGGUGAAGUCCCUCGCGGAUGGAGCUGAAAUCAGUCGAAGAUACCAGCUGGCUGCAACUGUUUAUUAAAAACACAGCACUGUGCAAACACGAAAGUGGACGUAUACGGUGUGACGCCUGCCCGGUGCCGGAAGGUUAAUUGAUGGGGUUAGCGCAAGCGAAGCUCUUGAUCGAAGCCCCGGUAAACGGCGGCCGUAACUAUAACGGUCCUAAGGUAGCGAAAUUCCUUGUCGGGUAAGUUCCGACCUGCACGAAUGGCGUAAUGAUGGCCAGGCUGUCUCCACCCGAGACUCAGUGAAAUUGAACUCGCUGUGAAGAUGCAGUGUACCCGCGGCAAGACGGAAAGACCCCGUGAACCUUUACUAUAGCUUGACACUGAACAUUGAGCCUUGAUGUGUAGGAUAGGUGGGAGGCUUUGAAGUGUGGACGCCAGUCUGCAUGGAGCCGACCUUGAAAUACCACCCUUUAAUGUUUGAU